Molecule: ribosomal RNA, 283 nt
Filed under: uncultured prokaryote
Description: partial 16S ribosomal RNA
Rfam family: Bacterial small subunit ribosomal RNA
Source: RNAcentral
UACGUAGGGGGCUAGCGUUAUCUGGAAUUACUGGGCGUAAAGGGUGCGUAGGUGGUUUCUUAAGUCAGAGGUGAAAGGCUACGGCUCAACCGUAGUAAGCCUUUGAAACUGGGAAACUUGAGUGCAGGAGAGGAGAGUGGAAUUCCUAGUGUAGCGGUGAAAUGCGUAGAUAUUAGGAGGAACACCGGUGGCGAAGGCGGCUUACUGGACGAUUACUGACGUUGAGGCUCGAAAGCGUGGGGAGCAAACAGGAUUAGAUACCCUGGUAGUCCCUGAGCGGGCU